GAAAUGCGAUAACUAGUGUGAAUUGCAGAAUUCCGUGAAUCAUCGAGUCUUUGAACGCACAUUGCGCCCCCUGGUAUUCCGGGGGGCAUGCCUGUCCGAGCGUCAUUGCUGCCCAUCAAGCACGGCUUGUGUGUUGGGUCGUCGUCCCCUCUCCGGGGGGGACGGACCCCAAAGGCAGCGGCGGCACCGCGUCCGAUCCUCGAGCGUAUGGGGCUUUGUCACCCGCUCUGUAGGCCCGGCCGGCGCUUGCCGAACGCAAAUCAAUCUUUUUCCAGGUUGACCUCGGAUCAGGUAGGGAUACCCGCUGAACUUAAGC
RNAcentral lists this unclassified non-coding RNA (316 nucleotides) under plant metagenome. Its description in RNAcentral is "partial contains 5.8S ribosomal RNA, internal transcribed spacer 2, and large subunit ribosomal RNA". The stretch from base 1 to 105 matches the Rfam family "5.8S ribosomal RNA", at positions 50 to 154 of the family's 154-position model. The record is from RNAcentral.